GACGAACGCUGGCGGCGUGCUUAACACAUGCAAGUCGAACGGAAAGGCCCUGCUUUUGUGGGGUGCUCGAGUGGCGAACGGGUGAGUAACACGUGAGUAACCUGCCCUUGACUUUGGGAUAACUUCAGGAAACUGGGGCUAAUACCGGAUAGGAGCUCCUGCUGCAUGGUGGGGGUUGGAAAGUUUCGGCGGUUGGGGAUGGACUCGCGGCUUAUCAGCUUGUUGGUGGGGUAGUGGCUUACCAAGGCUUUGACGGGUAGCCGGCCUGAGAGGGUGACCGGGCACAUUGGGACUGAGAUACGGCCCAGACGCCUACGUGGGGCAGCAGUGGAGAAUAUUGCACAGUGGGCGGAAGCCUGAUGCAGCAACGCCGCGUGCGGGAUGAAGGCCUUCGGGUUGGAAACCGCUUUCGCCUGUGACGAAGCGUGAGUGACGGUAAUGGGUAAAGAAGCACCGGCUAACUACGUG
This 468-nucleotide ribosomal RNA is filed under the name uncultured bacterium. Its description in RNAcentral is "partial 16S ribosomal RNA". It matches the Rfam family "Bacterial small subunit ribosomal RNA", at positions 28 to 507 of the family's 1533-position model. The record is from RNAcentral.